GGCUGGUCUGAGUGCAGUGAUGAUUACAGCUACUUGAUCACCACCAGUUGUAGAUUUCUUUCUUCUUCUCCACCUCCACCACUUCACUUGAAUACCCUUAA
RNAcentral lists this Y RNA (101 nucleotides) under Carlito syrichta (Philippine tarsier). Its description in RNAcentral is "Y RNA (ENSTSYG00000028370.1)". It matches the Rfam family "Y RNA". Rfam says of the family: Y RNAs are components of the Ro ribonucleoprotein particle (Ro RNP), in association with Ro60 and La proteins. The record is from Rfam by way of RNAcentral. Lineage: Eukaryota; Metazoa; Chordata; Mammalia; Primates; Tarsiidae.